This 397-nucleotide ribosomal RNA is filed under the name uncultured bacterium. RNAcentral's name for it is "partial 16S ribosomal RNA". It matches the Rfam family "Bacterial small subunit ribosomal RNA", at positions 523 to 918 of the family's 1533-position model. The record is from RNAcentral.
AUACGUAGGUGGCAAGCGUUGUCCGGAUUUAUUGGGCGUAAAGCGAGCGCAGGCGGUUUCUUAAGUCUGAUGUGAAAGCCCCCGGCUAAACCGGGGAGGGUCAUUGGAAAAUGGGAGACUUGAGUGCCGAAGAGGAGAGUGGAAUUCCAAGUGUAGCGGUGAAAUGCGUAGAUAUAUGGAGGAACACCAGUGGCGAAGGCGACUCUCUGGUCUGUAACUGACGCUGAGGCUCGAAAGCGUGGGGAGCAAACAUGAUUAGAUACCCUGGUAGUCCACGCCGUAAACGAUGAGUGCUAAGUGUUGGAGGGUUUCCGCCCUUCAGUGCUGCAGCUAACGCAUUAAGCACUCCGCCUGGGGAGUACGACCGCAAGGUUGAAACUCAAAUGAAUUGGCGGGG